GAGAGAUUGACAUUCAUCACAUACACACAAUGCACCCCUUGCACACAGAAAAACACACAAUGCAUUACACACACAGACACACAUACACAAGCAAUGCAACCGUUACACACAAUGCAUCCCUUACACACACAGAAACACACAAUGCAUUCAUUACACACACUCAAUGCAUCCCUUACACACAUUCAAUGCAUCCCAUACAUACACAGAAACACACCUUGCAGCCCUUACACAUACAAACACAAUUUCACACAAUGCAUUCCUUACACAUAUAUCAGGACAUCCCCUACACACUCCACCCCCUGUGAACAAACUCAUUGGU
Molecule: non-coding RNA, 319 nt
Organism: Pelobates cultripes (western spadefoot toad)
Lineage: Eukaryota; Metazoa; Chordata; Amphibia; Anura; Pelobatidae
Source: the annotation of a GenBank genome assembly